GCUGGAAUUCGCCCUUGUGCCAGCAGCCGCGGUAAUACGUAGGUCCCGAGCGUUAUCCGGAUUUAUUGGGCGUAAAGCGAGCGCAGGCGGUUAGAUAAGUCUGAAGUUAAAGGCUGUGGCUUAACCAUAGUACGCUUUGGAAACUGUUUAACUUGAGUGCAGAAGGGGAGAGUGGGAUUCCAUGUGUAGCGGUGAAAUGCGUAGAUAUAUGGAGGAACACCGGUGGCGAAAGCGGCUCUCUGGUCUGUAACUGACGCUGAGGCUCGAAAGCGUGGGGAGCAAGCAGGAUUAGAUGCCCUGGUAGUCCACGCCGUAAACGAUGAGUGCUAGGUGUUGGGUCCUUUCCGGGACUCAGUGCCGCAGCUAACGCAUUAAGCACUCCGCCUGGGGAGUACGACCGCAAGGUUGAAACUCAAAGGAAUUGACGGGGGCCCGCACAAGCGGUGGAGCAUGUGGUUUAAUUCGAAGCAACGCGAAGAACCUUACCAGGUCUUGACAUCCCUCUGACCGCUCUAGAGAUAGAGUUUUCCUUCGGGAA
This 538-nucleotide ribosomal RNA is filed under the name uncultured organism. Its description in RNAcentral is "SSU rRNA". It matches the Rfam family "Bacterial small subunit ribosomal RNA", at positions 487 to 1026 of the family's 1533-position model. The record is from RNAcentral.